GCCUCCACGGCGCAAUCGGUUAGCGCGUACGGCUGUUAACCGUAAGGUUGGUGGUUCGAGUCCGCCUGGUGGCG
Non-coding RNA from Ixodes scapularis (black-legged tick), 74 nucleotides. The record is from Rfam. Lineage: Eukaryota; Metazoa; Arthropoda; Arachnida; Ixodida; Ixodidae.